AGAGAGAGUUCAAUAGUACGUGAAACCUCUCGGGGGUAAGCGGGCAGAACUUGCAAGUAUUGGCUGGGAAUAUUCAGGCUUAAUGUUGGCGACUGAGAGUGUAUUAUAAAGUUGUCCUUUUGGGGAUUGGCUGAUGUGUGCUCUUUGAUUUGUUGACGAUGCGCCGCAUUUAUUUCCGUCAUCGGGUUGCAUGUGACUGAGCGUGUAGUUUAGGUGCUGAAAUCCUGCGAAGCCUUGUUGUUUCGAGUUUUGGUUUCCGACUACGGCUGCGGUCAUUAUAUCUUUUACUGGGCAGGCGUUUAGGCGCGGUCAAUAGUUUGUACGAGUUGUGUGCAUGUUGUAUGUGGACGGGUAACCGUAGCAUACGAUAUGAGGCUGAUUGUCGGUAUGAGCUAAUUUGGCACUGUCCUUUGUG
RNAcentral lists this ribosomal RNA (415 nucleotides) under Parisotoma aff. notabilis L2. RNAcentral's name for it is "eukaryotic LSU rRNA". The record is from RNAcentral. Lineage: Eukaryota; Metazoa; Arthropoda; Collembola; Entomobryomorpha; Isotomidae.